GUGGAAGCAUGGAGUCUUAACCACUGGGGUGCCAGGGAAGUCCUGUAAAGUCCCUCUUUUACUUUGCUGUCUCAGCGAGAGAAAGACGGCCCCCUGCCAGGACUUGCCAGUCUGAUUGUCAUCCACUCCAACUCUUCUGUUUCUCUGAGGCCCAGUGCAGCCAGUCCACGCCUGCUUCCCCGCCACAGCCCAGCACUGAGCCCCGGGGGGCGGAGGCCUUCGUCCACUGAAGUCUUGAACCCCUCAAAGUCAUCUAAGAGAGUUGUAGUCAACUACUCCCAGGCUCCUCUUAAUGUUGAUAUUUUGACCUCUUCUGAUGAAUCAUGAAUGUUCUUCAUGGCAUCUAAAAUGCCUUCACAGAAUUGAAGAGACUUGAGCCUUGCUCUGGGGCUUCCCUGGUGUCUCAGAUGGUAAAGAAUCUGCCUGCCAGUCCAGGAGACCUGAGUUUGAUCCCUGGGUCAGGAAGACCCCCUGCAGAAGGAAAUGCUAACCACUCCACUGUUCUUGCCUGGAGAAUUCCAUGGACAGAAGAGCCUGGUGGGCUGCAGUGCAUGGGCUCACCUGAAUUAAGCUUUGGGUUAAAGGAAUGUUGUGG
Long non-coding RNA from Bos taurus (domestic cattle), 595 nucleotides. The record is from Ensembl. NCBI's taxonomy places the organism in Eukaryota, Metazoa, Chordata, Mammalia, Artiodactyla, Bovidae.